This 29-nucleotide non-coding RNA is filed under the name Mus musculus (house mouse). The record is from RNAcentral. Lineage: Eukaryota; Metazoa; Chordata; Mammalia; Rodentia; Muridae.
UAAACAGACAAACAGACUUGAGUCAGACC